RNAcentral lists this ribosomal RNA (479 nucleotides) under uncultured anaerobic ammonium-oxidizing bacterium. RNAcentral describes it as "bacterial SSU rRNA". It matches the Rfam family "Bacterial small subunit ribosomal RNA", at positions 364 to 833 of the family's 1533-position model. The record is from RNAcentral.
UUUCGCAAUGCCCGAAAGGGUGACGAAGCGACGCCGCGUGCGGGAAGAAGGCCUUCGGGUUGUAAACCGCUGUCGGGAGUUAAGAAAUGCAAGGGUGUUAAUAGUAUCCUUGCUUGACUAAGGCUCCGGAGGAAGCCACGGCUAACUCUGUGCCAGCAGCCGCGGUAAUACAGAGGCGGCAAGCGUUGUUCGGAAUUAUUGGGCGUAAAGAGCACGUAGGCGGCUAUGUAAGUCGGUUGUGAAAGCCUUCCGCUCAACGGGAGAACAGCAUCCGAUACUGCAUGGCUUGAGUGCGGGAGGGGAGAGUGGAACUUCUGGUGGAGCGGUGAAAUGCGUAGAUAUCAGAAGGAACGCCGGCGGCGAAAGCGGCUCUCUGGCCCAUAACUGACGCUGAGUGUGCGAAAGCUAGGGGAGCAAACGGGAUUAGAUACCCCGGUAGUCCUAGCCGUAAACGAUGGGCACUAAGUAGAGGGGUUUUA